This 459-nucleotide ribosomal RNA is filed under the name uncultured bacterium. RNAcentral's name for it is "partial 16S ribosomal RNA". It matches the Rfam family "Bacterial small subunit ribosomal RNA", at positions 338 to 795 of the family's 1533-position model. The record is from RNAcentral.
CCUACGGGUGGCAGCAGUGAGGAAUAUUGGUCAAUGGGCGCAAGCCUGAACCAGCCAAGUCGCGUGAGGGAAGACGGUCCUAUGGGUUGUAAACCUCUUUUAGCGGGGAACAAAAGACGCCACGCGUGGCGUUCCGAGAGUACCCCAAGAAAAAGCAUCGGCUAACUCCUUGCCAGCAGGCGCGGUAAUACGGAGGAUGCGAGCGUUAUCCGGAUUUAUUGGGUUUAAAGGGUGCGCAGGGGGAGGAUCAAGUCAGCGGUAAAAUUGAGGGGCUCAACCUCGUCGAGCCGUUGAAACUGGGGUCCUUGAGUGAGUGAGAAGUAUGCGGAAUGCGUGGUGUAGCGGUGAAAUGCAUAGAUAUCACGCAGAACUCCGAUUGCGAAGGCAGCAUACCGGCGCUCAACUGACGCUCAGGCACGAAAGUGUGGGUAUCGAACAGGAUUAGAUACCCUUGUAGUC